UUCCGUAUAGGAUGUAAAUAACACACCCAGGAGUUGUAUGUUAAUAUGACCACUCAUAAAGGGGGUUCCGUGUCGGCAUGACAACUACAAUGUUCUGAACCCGCUAGAAUGGUUGAUGUUGUAAUGGGCUACUCAGGAGGGGGGCUGUCUGUCUGUACCGGUGGGGAGGGACUGGUGAUGUGGGUCUGGACUGGUGAUGUGGGUCUGUACUGGUGGGGAGGGACUGGUGAUGUGGGUCUGGACUGGUGGGGAGGGACUGGUGAUGUGGGUCUGGACUGGUGGGGGUCUGGACUGGUGAUGUGGGUCUGUACUGGUGGGGAGGGACUGGUGAUGUGGGUCUGGACUGGUGGGGAGGGACUGGUGAUGUGGGUCUGGACUGGUGAUGUGGGUCUGAACUGGUGGGGAGGGACUGGUGAUGUGGGUCUGGACUGGUGGGGAGGGACUGGUGAUGUGGGUCUGGACUGGUGGGGAGGGACUGGGACUGGUGAUGUGGGUCUGUACUGGUGGGGAGGGACUGGUGAUGUGGGUCUGGACUGGUGGGGAGGGACUGGUGAUGUGGGUCUGUACUGGUGGGGAGGGACUGGUGAUGUGGGUCUGUACUGGUGGGGAGGGACUGGUGAUGUGGGUCUGUACUGGUGGGGAGGGACUGGUGAUGUGGGUCUGUACUGGUGGGGAGGGACUGGUGAUGUGGGUCUGUACUGGUGGGGAGGGACUGGUGAUGUGGGUCUGGACUGGUGGGGAGGGACUGGUGAUGUGGGUCUGGACUGGUGGGGAGGGACUGGUGAUGUGGGUCUGUACUGGUGGGGAGGGACUGGUGAUGUGGGUCUGGACUGGUGGGUCUGGACUGGUGGGGG
This is a long non-coding RNA of Oncorhynchus tshawytscha (Chinook salmon), 854 nucleotides long. The record is from Ensembl. NCBI's taxonomy places the organism in Eukaryota, Metazoa, Chordata, Actinopteri, Salmoniformes, Salmonidae.